Dromaius novaehollandiae (emu) is the source of this 266-nucleotide long non-coding RNA. RefSeq lists it as uncharacterized. Lineage: Eukaryota; Metazoa; Chordata; Aves; Casuariiformes; Dromaiidae. The record is from RefSeq and is a predicted model, not a curated record. The transcript is spliced from 4 exons.
CCAGCACUGCGCUGCCUGCGGGAGCUGCCCCUGCACCGAGGACCCCCCCGGCCCCCACUGCCGCCACUGCCAGGCCUGCCCCUUCUGCUACCUCUGCCCCCUGCUCUGCGAGACCGCCUGCCAGCCCGGGAGCCUCGUGGACGAGUUCUCGGGGGCUCUGCUGCAGUCGCUGGGGAGCUUCUUCGAGGCGCCGGAAGACUGAGGGGGGGGCACCCCAAAACGGGGGGUUUCACCCCAAAAUGGGGGGGCUUUACCCCAAAACGGGG